AAUAGCAUAAUAGAGAUACAAUCAAAGAUCAUUAAGCUUUGUGAAAAUCAUAAGCAUUGACAAGGCAUUCGUAACUAUGAACAGCAUGAUACUCCUACCAGGAAUUUACUUAACACGAUUGUGACUAGCAAUCUCCACUACUUAUGAAUAUAAGUUCAUAACAAUUAGGUGAAACUCCCUUAUAUUCUAACAUCAAAUUCAUGCAUGCAAACUAAGUAUGCAUCCUUAAUCAACAAACAAGAAUAAGUUCUGAAUCAAACAGUUAAGUAAAUUGCAUUCACGAUUUAUGAAAUCACAACUGGAAGUAAUCAAUUCAUAUUGCAAAUAUGUUCAUGGCUUUGAAUUUUCCUCUAGCUAAAAUGAGUUUAGCUCCUUAUGUUCGCAAAACAAAGAUAACUUAAAUUAAACAUUGGAAACAAAAGAUGGAUUACACCUAAAAACGUUCCAGCAAUCCAAGUUUGAAUGGCAAGAACAUCGAAGGGUCCUCCUUCUUCUUCUUUGCUGCGGCACUAGGUGUGGGUGAAGGUUUGAGUGAUGAAUUAUAUGAAAGAAUGGCUGAAAGUAUGAAUAGUAGUGAAUGGAUCAUCCUCAAGGUUGCGGCAAGGCUUAAUAUAUAUAGGGAAAUAGAGUUAAAACCCUAAUAGUUUUUUGGGACAGAUUUGUACACCAAAUCCUAAAAAAAAAAGGGUAAUUAAAUGUCAGAAUCCAAGAGGAAAAGGGUAAGAAGGGUGCGGCAAGGAAA
Molecule: long non-coding RNA, 742 nt
Filed under: Malus domestica (apple)
Lineage: Eukaryota; Viridiplantae; Streptophyta; Magnoliopsida; Rosales; Rosaceae
Description: long non-coding RNA (MDOM_LNC016246)
Source: RNAcentral